RNAcentral lists this ribosomal RNA (434 nucleotides) under uncultured Lachnospiraceae bacterium. Its description in RNAcentral is "partial 16S ribosomal RNA". It matches the Rfam family "Bacterial small subunit ribosomal RNA", at positions 341 to 792 of the family's 1533-position model. The record is from RNAcentral. Lineage: Bacteria; Bacillati; Bacillota; Clostridia; Lachnospirales; Lachnospiraceae.
ACGGAAGGCAGCAGUGGGGAAUAUUGCACAAUGGGGGAAACCCUGAUGCAGCGACGCCGCGUGAGUGAAGAAGUAUUUCGGUAUGUAAAACUCUAUCAGCAGGAAAGAAAAUGACGGUACCUGACUAAGAAGCCCCGGCUAACUACGUGCCAGCAGCCGCGGUAAUACGUAGGGGGCAAGCGUUAUCCGGAUUUACUGGGUGUAAAGGGAGCGUAGACGGCUUUGCAAGUCUGAAGUGAAAGCCCGGGGCUCAACCCCGGAACUGCUUUGGAAACUGUAGAGCUAGAGUGCAGGAGAGGUAAGUGGAAUUCCUAGUGUAGCGGUGAAAUGCGUAGAUAUUAGGAGGAACACCAGUGGCGAAGGCGGCUUACUGGACUGUAACUGACGUUGAGGCUCGAAGGCGUGGGGAGCAAACAGGAUUAGAUACCCUGGUA